RNAcentral lists this transfer RNA (73 nucleotides) under Archangium lansingense. Its description in RNAcentral is "tRNA-Glu". It matches the Rfam family "tRNA". Rfam says of the family: Transfer RNA (tRNA) molecules are approximately 80 nucleotides in length. The record is from RNAcentral. Lineage: Bacteria; Pseudomonadati; Myxococcota; Myxococcia; Myxococcales; Archangiaceae. RNAcentral also lists the same sequence under 1 other name.
GUCCCGUUCGUCUAACGGCUCAGGAUGCUGGCUUUUCACUCCGGCGAUGAGGGUUCGAUUCCCUCACGGGACG